This 431-nucleotide ribosomal RNA is filed under the name Euseius ovalis. Its description in RNAcentral is "partial 16S ribosomal RNA". The stretch from base 147 to 431 matches the Rfam family "Bacterial large subunit ribosomal RNA", at positions 2078 to 2620 of the family's 2925-position model. The record is from RNAcentral. Lineage: Eukaryota; Metazoa; Arthropoda; Arachnida; Mesostigmata; Phytoseiidae.
UAAAUUGCUGAAGUAUUUUGACUUUACGAAGGUAUUGAAAUAAGACUUUAAUUGAGUGCUAAGAGAAUGGAUUAAUGAUAAUUAUUUUUAUUGUAUUUAAUUAUUAGAAUUUCAUUUAAGAAUGAAAAAGUUUUUAUUAACGUAUGGGACAAGAAGACCCUGUGAAUUUUAUUUGAUUUAAUGAGAUAAUUUGUUAAAUUCAUAAUUUGAUUGGGGCGAUAGAAAAAUAUUUGAAAACUUUAUUUAAAUGAUGUUUUAUAGGUUAAAAAGAAAAUACUCUAGGGAUAACAGCGUUAUUACUAUGGAGAGUUCAUAUUGGUAUAGUAGUUUGCGACCUCGAUGUUGAAUUUGACACACCUAGUUGUUGUAGAGAAUCACUAAGGGAGAUUGUUCAUCUUUUAAAUUGUUACGUGAUCUGAGUUCAGACCGGA